GAGAGGACAAACCGGCCCGGUCCAAAUGGCUCCACCAAAAGUUUCAGAUCUACGAUGCAUGUAUGCCAUCGAAACAGACUUGGGUAGAUCUGCUUCAUGAAGUACAUGAGGCGGAGAAUAUGAUUGCUAAAACUGCCGAGUGACCGAUCCCUUGAAAACCCUAGAAUACAUUGCAUCCGAUUCGAUUUCUUUUUAAAGAAGAAGAUCCAAACCCCUUAUCUGAUAUUCCGAAUUCCCAAUCCAAGCCGGAGUUGGUAUCCUCAAUUGCUUCGCUGCUUCUCGGUGCGCGUCGAGCGGAUCGAUCAAGCGAUGGAUCACCGGGACCUGCAGGGCGUGGCGCUGUUGCCCGACGGCGUGCUAGCGGACGUGCUCUGCCGCGUCCGGACCCGGGGCCUCGCCGCGUGCAGGUGCGUCUGCAAGGCGUGGCUCGUCGUGUCGUCGACGACCGCCACCUGCUGCGGGCGGAUCUCCUCCCUUUGUCGAUCUCCUCCCUUUGUCGGUAGAUGGGCUCUCUUCAUCAACUUCCAGUCUUCCCGAGUUCUUCGCGCCCCUCUCGCACGGCCCUACAUGGCUACAUCCAGGGUUGGCUCUAGUGCCCCUAAAUUCUAGGGCACUAUAUCUGCUGCAGUUAAUUGUAUAGCUAAUAUAAUAACUAAUGUUAAAUUAAAUAAUCUAAUAUCUAAGUUGAGAGUUUUAAAAUUAAGCUUUUCAUAAGCAUCUAUGUUUUCUAUGGAGAUAUUUGAGUAUGUCAAUGAGAUGGAUUCGUAUUC
Zea mays is the source of this 770-nucleotide long non-coding RNA. RefSeq lists it as uncharacterized. The record is from RefSeq and is marked validated. The transcript has a single exon. NCBI's taxonomy places the organism in Eukaryota, Viridiplantae, Streptophyta, Magnoliopsida, Poales, Poaceae.